Molecule: non-coding RNA, 720 nt
Organism: Cucurbita pepo subsp. pepo (vegetable marrow)
Lineage: Eukaryota; Viridiplantae; Streptophyta; Magnoliopsida; Cucurbitales; Cucurbitaceae
Source: RefSeq, a predicted model, not a curated record
GAAGAGGGGAACGAAACCUUACUUAGAAGGGUGUGUAAGAGAUUUCCUUACAAGGGGUGGAAACCUCCCCUUAGAAGAUGCAUUUUAAAACCGGAAUAAAGGUAGCGGGAGGGAAAUAUGAAUAUGAAUGAAGUGUUGUUUCUUUUCCUUGGGAUUGUGCUUUUAUAAUGAGGGUAGAGAUCAUCCCUGGUGAAUAUUAUUAUAUUCAGGUACGAUUUCCCCUGGAGUGUAACCAAACUCAUACCAUUUUACGGUGGUGCGGACCAUCAUGAUUACCAUCACUAUGUUGGAGGACAAAGCCAUAGCAACUUUGCUUCAGUAUUUACCUACUGUGAUUAUAUUUACGGAACUGACAAGGGAUACCGCUACCAAAAGAAGAUCCUUAAGAAGUUGAAGGAAGAAGCGAAGAUCAGUGAAGCAUCAUACUACAGCAUAGCCCAAGAUGUUAAAUCAGACUAGACAAUGAUAAGGGAUUCAUAUGUUGAAAGACGGGUUUUUCGGGUUGGUAGCGAUGUUACGUAAUCUCUGAUUUGAAGAUGACUUAAUCGGGAUCCAUAUGAUCGUCGUCGAGGUAGUUAGGGAAGGGACUGGGAUGGGAUGGGAUGGGAAUUAGCUAGGGGUGUGUGGUUUAACCUUGUUGUGCAGACAAUACUCUUAAUAUAAAUAUGUAUUUUGGUUGUGAACUUGUUGAUAUAUUUGGUUAUGUUAGAUAUCGAUUUU